RNAcentral lists this transfer-messenger RNA (131 nucleotides) under Alphaproteobacteria bacterium. RNAcentral's name for it is "partial transfer-messenger RNA". It matches the Rfam family "Alphaproteobacteria transfer-messenger RNA", at positions 183 to 355 of the family's 355-position model. Rfam says of the family: Bacterial tmRNA, also known as 10Sa RNA or SsrA, is named for its dual tRNA and mRNA-like properties. Its role is to liberate the mRNA from a stalled ribosome. The record is from RNAcentral. Lineage: Bacteria; Pseudomonadati; Pseudomonadota; Alphaproteobacteria.
GACCUUUCGCCCGGUAUGGUAUCCGCCGUUAUCGGGCUAAUCGUAACAGGUGCCAACGAUAAUGAAAUGGCCCUCGCUGCCUAAUAGGUAAGCGCGGUUGGAGGGGUACCGGGCAACAGAAACCCCUCGCU